RNAcentral lists this ribosomal RNA (225 nucleotides) under uncultured bacterium. RNAcentral's name for it is "partial 16S ribosomal RNA". It matches the Rfam family "Bacterial small subunit ribosomal RNA", at positions 106 to 334 of the family's 1533-position model. The record is from RNAcentral.
GGGAGUAAUGUCUGGGAAACCGCCGAGUGGAGGGGGGUAACUACUGGAAACGGUAGCUAAUACCGCAUAACGUCGCAAGACCAAAGAGGGGGACCUUCGGGCCUCUUGCCAUCGGAUGUGCCCAGAUGGGAUUAGCUAGUAGGUGGGGUAAUGGCUCACCUAGGCGACGAUCCCUAGCUGGUCUGAGAGGAUGACCAGCCACACUGGAACUGAGACACGGUCCAG